RNA transcript from Rhododendron vialii, 2200 nucleotides. It is a transcript of the gene named transcription termination factor MTERF5, chloroplastic-like, with no coding region annotated. The transcript is spliced from 5 exons. NCBI's taxonomy places the organism in Eukaryota, Viridiplantae, Streptophyta, Magnoliopsida, Ericales, Ericaceae. The record is from RefSeq and is a predicted model, not a curated record.
GAACAACUGACCGUCAACCAAAAGAGCAAAACCUUUCUUCAACUUGCUUCGCUAUGCCCCACGAUUCUCACUCAGUAGCUGACAUCUGAGCCCGACAUACCCAAUCUCCAAAUCAACUCCAACCCCUCAGAAAAUCCCUCCUCACUUUCCCCUCUUUUUUCCCUCCAAAAAAAAGCAAACAAGAUUCAACCCUAGACGCAGAUUCACGCACGCACACUGUACUGCUUCUCAAACAAAGAUUACCGAAAAACAUGGGUCAUGUAUCUACUGGAAAAAUGCAAGCUUUCCCAGCCAUAAGGUCCUCCGAGCUUUCCUCUCUACCAGGAGCAGCCUUUUUCAGACCCAGGACUCAACUCACUUUUCCCAAUAAAUUGUUCUUCUGCCGUGCAAAAUAUGCUGAAUCGGGUAACGCAGGGUUGCACAACUUAAUAUUUGCGCCUGCAAAUCCAUUAGUUACGGAGAAGGAAGAAGCCAAGGCUGUUUUGACCUUGUUUUUGAAGAAACAAGGUUUGAGCAAUGCGGUUGCAGCAAGAACUGUCGACAAAUCUGCACUUUUUAUCGAUCACCUUGUUUCAAGGAUUCAUUCUGUUCAUAAAAAUCGGUAUCCGGGAGGUUCAAGGCAAGAGCUUACAACUCUUGAGAUCAGGGACGCUUUAAAUCCAUACCUUGAAACCCUCUACGAGGAGUUUGGAGACAUUCUGGUAGAUGUAGUUGAAAACUUUCCAAAUCCAGCCACUGAAGAAAGAUCAACAGAAAAUUUAUCAAUCCCGUCUUUGGAAGAAGAACCGGUUUCAGCCCCUAUUACCACCCUCAACUCCAAGAAGUUAAAAGCCUUGGCAAGAUUGACUGACGACGGUCUCACUGGGAAGCCGCCUCCACAUAUUAUCUACCUCACAGCACUUGGCAUGGAAAUUGAGGUGAUCGAAGAAGUGACAAGCAAGUUUCCUUCCUUUGCUUACUAUAGCUUGGAUAGGAAAAUUAAACCUGUGGUUGAAGUCCUACUUGAUCUUGGGAUACCUAAAUCCGAUAUCCCCACCAUUCUCAGCAAAAGGCCCCAUCUAUGUGGAAUCCGUCAGACGGAAAAAUUAUUAAUACCCACUAUUACGUAUUUAAAGAACUUGGGCAUGGACAAGAAACAGUUGACAAAGGCAAUUUGUCGAUUCCCUGCGCUUCUCACUUGUAGCAGGCAGAAGUUGGAAUCAACUAUUGAUCUGCUUUAUGAAUUGGGGCUUCCAGCCGAACACCUGGGUAAGGUUCUAACGCGUGGUCCGCAGAUCUUAGGUUAUAGUGGGGAGACUCUAAAGGCUAGAGCGAAGUACUUCCAUUCUAUUGGGGUUGAUGUUGGCAGUCUUCUCUACAGAUAUCCGACAAUUUUUGGUCUAAACAUUGAGACCCAUUUGAAACCUUUGACAGAGUUUUUCUUGGAGAAAGGAUUCAGUACUGCGGAUAUAGCAUCAAUGAUUUCCGGGUUUGGAAGUCUGUGUACUUUUAGCUUGUCAAACAACAUUAUGCCCAAGUGGGAGUUUUUUUUGACCAUGUGCUACCCGAAAUCUGAUCUGGUUAAAGUCCCUCAGUAUUUUGUGUACAGUUUGGAGCUGAGGAUUAAACCCAGGUAUGCAACAAUGAGGGAAAGUGAAGUAACGUUGUCUCUGGGUCGGUUACUCUAUCUUUCAGAUGGCGACUUGGACAAGGUUUUGAAACAAAAAAUGAACAAACAUGUUGGAUGAAAUGGAUUACUACAAGAUUGCAAGAUUUUUCUGUUCAUCACGGGGGGUUCAACUAGAGGUUUACGAGGGAAAGCGGAGUAAUGUCGACUCUGAAACGGUUUCUCUGUCUUUCGAAUGUUGAGUUGGAUAAGGUUUGCAGACAAGACAAAAGAAGAAGGGUGAUAUGGUUUUGAAACGAAAAAUGAUGGAAAAUGUCGGAUGAAUCUGUUUCGAUUCCAAGCUUUGUCUGUUCAUUGCAGGUGAUUCAAUCCCAGUUUUGUUAUAGCCUCUGGUCCAAAAUCCCAGUAAAGUUAUUGGUUAGGCUUUAUCACUGAUGAAUUACUUAGAACCAGAGAUUAUCAGGCUCGGGGCAUUUCGUUGUUGUUCAUCAGUAUCAUUUCAAGGACCAGCUUAGUUUUAAUUGUAUCUGUUGUAUAAAUAAAUUGUUUUGAUAUUCUUCAAAUGUUAAUAAGAACAAUUUAAUGUUGCUUUUA